Molecule: long non-coding RNA, 607 nt
Organism: Scophthalmus maximus (turbot)
Lineage: Eukaryota; Metazoa; Chordata; Actinopteri; Pleuronectiformes; Scophthalmidae
Exons: 3
Source: RefSeq, a predicted model, not a curated record
GGCAAGGAGGAAGAAAACAGUCCCGUCACUGCCUAAUCUGUACCGAGAACCACAUUUGUUCUACACAUGUGAGAAAGUACAACUGCUUCCUGCCAGAGUUUGUUUGUCAGCAGGAUUACGCAAAUGCCACAGGGCCGAUUUCCACAUAACCUGGUUGAAGGAUGAGGCAUGGGCCAAGAAACAACCCAUUCGACUUUGGGCAAGUGGCGGAUCCAGGGAUUCCUUUCACUUCCUUUAAUGUUGCAAGAUAGGGUGUUUUUGACAUUUUCACCACUUUCCCAGCAAAUAAUGCAUUGAUCUUGAUGAAAAAUAUCAGGCAUUUUAGGGGGCUGCUGGCCCUUGGCCAAGCACCCUGGGGUAGGCGAGUGAUCACAUCCUCGUCUCAUGAAGAGGAAACUAGGUCAAACGCAGAGAACGUUCCAGAGCCCUUGAGGCCUAAAACAUGAUGACAGCAUCUCUACCCAGUCGUCCAAUUACGGAAUUCUGAUACUGUUAAUUUAGAUUUCGUCUAGUUUACUGAAUUGUUCAUCACAAUCAUUUAUGUCCGACGCUCUUCUUCAACUUAAAGUUCUUGAAAUGUCUUUGUCCACAAACGUUCAAAAGAGGG